CAAUCUAUAUACAAGAGUGCACACACUGAAAUGUCUCGCCUUCUUUACUAAUCAUUGAUAUUAUGUUGAUAGUCCUAAGUAUAAAGCGUUAUUACAACUGUCACAUAAACUUAACAUUAAACAAGAUAGUUAAACAAAGACCAAUGAACCAUGAAAAUGAGGUCAAGGUCAGAUGAACCAUGCCAGGCAGACAUGUACAGCUAACAAUGCUUCCAUACAACAAAUAUAGUUGACCUAUUACUUAUAGUUUAAGAAAAAUAGACCAAAACACAAAAACUUAAAACUGUCCAAUGAACCGUGCAAUUGAGGUCAUGGUCAAAUAAAACCUGCGGGACUGACAUAUAGAUCAUAAUAUAUUUCCAUACACCAAAUAUAGUUGACCUUUGGCAUAUAAUAUUAGAUAAAAAGAUCAAAACUUAAAAACUUAACUUUGACCACUGAACCAUGAAAAUGAGGUCAAGGUCAGAUGACAUCUGCCCGCUAGACAUGUACACCUUGCAAUCAUUCCAUACAACAAAUAUAGUAGACCUAUUGCAUAAAGUAUGAGAAAAACAGACCAAAACACAAAAACUUAACUAUAACCACUGAACCAUGAAAAUGAGGUCAAGGUCAGAUGACACCUGCCAGUUGGACAUGUACACCUUCCAGUCCUUCCAUACACCAAAUAUACUAGCCCUAUUGCUUAUAGUAUCU
Molecule: long non-coding RNA, 693 nt
Filed under: Mytilus galloprovincialis (Mediterranean mussel)
Lineage: Eukaryota; Metazoa; Mollusca; Bivalvia; Mytilida; Mytilidae
Source: RNAcentral